This 695-nucleotide long non-coding RNA is filed under the name Ananas comosus (pineapple). RNAcentral describes it as "long non-coding RNA (ACOM_LNC025511)". The record is from RNAcentral. Lineage: Eukaryota; Viridiplantae; Streptophyta; Magnoliopsida; Poales; Bromeliaceae.
UAUAUAUAUAUAUAUAUAUAUAUAGAACUAAGCUGGAAUACUAUCAGUAGCACAAAGCUAUUGGUGCUAUUGAUUUUUUAGCCAUUGGAUUAAGAAAUGGGUGGUUAGGAUGAUGUGGGUCCCAUAGGGUUGAGUGAGUGGUUGGUUGAAUAGUAUAAUUUGACGAGUAAAAAUAAUCAAAGGGUUAAAUCUAACAGUGAAAAACUCGAUAGCAUCAAAUUCUUGGUGCUAUCGAUAGUAUCCCAGUUGGACUAUAUACAUAUAUAUAUAUAGAGUGGGCUGCUAUGCUUAUGGAAUUAUGGAGGCCUCCGUGCUUCAAAGUUGUUUUCGAUGUUUGGAUUUUCGAAUCGACGGUCGGAUCCGUUAGAGUUGAUCUAGAGUAUUUGAAGUACCUAGAAAAUAAAUUUUGCGAUUUUUCAAUAUCAUUUGCCUAGUGAUCGAAGGGGUUCAAAAUCAAUAAUUUUAAUGGCCGUGGUGAGCCGGUUGCAAGUGUAACGGUGUAGAAAUAUCCAAAUCACGUGAAAUUUUGAUAGAAAAUUCUUUAUACUAUAUAAAAUAAGAUCAAUAUCUUUGAUCUAAAUUUUUAAUGUCAUAUCAUCACAUUUUGUGAGAUUUUUAUUUUCAGCCGUUGAUUUUGAGCCCCUUCGAUCACUAGGCAAAUGAUAUCGAAAAAUCGCAAAAUUUAUUUUCUAGNN